Molecule: ribosomal RNA, 405 nt
Filed under: uncultured bacterium
Lineage: Bacteria
Description: partial 16S ribosomal RNA
Rfam family: Bacterial small subunit ribosomal RNA
Source: RNAcentral
AUUGAACGCUGGCGGCAGGCCUAACACAUGCAAGUCGAACGAGUGGCGGACGGGUGAGUAAUGUCUGGGAAACUGCCCGAUGGAGGGGGAUAACUACUGGAAACGGUAGCUAAUACCGCAUACCAUCGGAUGUGCCCAGAUGGGAUUAGCUAGUAGGUGGGGUAACGGCUCACCUAGGCGACGAUCCCUAGCUGGUCUGAGAGGAUGACCGGCAAACCGGGAACUGAGAACCGGGCCAGACUCCUAGGGGGGGCAGCAGUGGGGAAUAUUGCACAAUGGGCGCAAGCCUGAUGCAGCCAUGCCGGGUGUAUGAAGAAGGCCUUCGGUUUGAAAAGUACUUUCAGCGAGGAGGGGUACCUCGCAGAAAAAGCACGGGUAACUCCGUGCCAGCAGCCGCGGUAAUAC